RNAcentral lists this long non-coding RNA (5969 nucleotides) under Brassica napus (rape). RNAcentral describes it as "long non-coding RNA (BNAP_LNC011530)". Lineage: Eukaryota; Viridiplantae; Streptophyta; Magnoliopsida; Brassicales; Brassicaceae. The record is from RNAcentral.
AUACCCAUGAGCCAGGAUCGACACACCAUCCGGGCUCCAGUGGCCACCGUAGAAGCCAAGAGCACAGUGACUAAGCUCUCCUACACACACAACGUUCACCCACACACCCGUUUUCUUCUCAGGUCGCCAAAUCAUCAUCGUCUUGUCCAUUGAAGCCGAUAAAAUGCUCAAUGGUUGGUGGCAGUCCACUGGAGGUUGCCACUCCACGGAAUAGACCCAAUCUUCAUGUCCAAUAAGAACAGAUUCCACUGAAACCUGAUACGUGAACCUCCCUGAAUCAAAAACAGGACCUUCAAUGUAAGAAGCCAGAGUGAUCUCUCUUUGCCAUGAGCCAACAUCACCUACUAACACAAGCUUCCAGAUUCGAAUGACUUUGUCCUGGGAAGAACUCACAAGCAUGAUACUAUUGGUGGGUUCAUCUGUUGAGUGUAACGGUAAUGAAAAGUCCAAACUUCGGAUCCAGUCCGUGUGGCCUUUAAGCUCACAGACAGAAGUGAACUUCCCCGUUCUUUCUCCACAGUACAGUUUGAUUUUGUUGUCUAAUCCACCCAUGGCGAGGGUGAAUCUUCCAGGAUUUUGAGGCAGCUCCGCUAACGAAAGCGUUACAAUUGCUUUGGAGUCAGCAGAGAUGGAGUCCAAGCACGAAACUUUACACUCCUCUGCAACAAAUAACACAUUAUGAAUUAUAGAUAAUGCUUUAAAAGACAUACACUUGUUUAACUUUAAUGCGUACCACUAGGCUGGGAUGGAAAAGAAACAUCCCAGACAUUCACAACUCCAUCUGAAGAACCAGAAGCAAACAUUGCAUCGGUUUCAGAACACAUAAACGCGGUGAUGCAAGUUACACCUUUCUUGUGAGACCUUGGGAGUUGUAGUACAUGUCUCCACUGCUGUUAGUAAAAUCAAACAAGACAUGUUAACAAGGAUCAGAGAUAAUACAGAAACUGUAGAGAUAAACUCAAUUGAGAUUUGAGAGAUUGAAGGAAAUUUUACAUUGUUACUGUUAGUUGAUAGCUCCCAAAGGAUGAUGACACCAUCUGUAUCACCUGAGAGCAGAUAAUGCCGGUCCAAAUGCUUGGCUGCAGAAAAUCAUAUUCAUUUCAAGGGAUUAAUCAAUCAUUCGAUGAUUUUCUCCUGCAAUCUAUAUUUAAAUUCUCCAUAAAGUUUGAUCUUUCACAGCAACUAAACCACCAAACCGGUAAAUAGAGACUAUAAAUAGAAAUCUGAAUGCAUAUACACUUCACAUUUUACUAAACAAGUGUCUAGUAGUGCUAGCUGUAACUCACGAAUCCUACAGUCUAAGUUCUCUUUAUGAUAAAAGGAGCACACUUAGAUCUAAUAGAUAAGUCAUAUAAGAAGAACUAAAGCCUCCAAUAUCAAAAGUAUCUUCCUUUGCAAUGCAAGAGAUCCCAAACACAAAUAGUUCAGCAAGUAAGCUAGAAGCAGAAGCAAGAAGGUACCUUUGAAAGCAAACUUGGAACUAGGUAACCAAUGAGUGCAAUUGACAGAAGCUUUGUGACCUGGAAGCGUUGUAAGAAUCUGGGCUGUCUGAAAGAGAAAAAAAAAAAACAAGAGAAAAAAUGUUACAUCUUGCUUAUUGAGAGAACAACAAAAGGGUUCUUGAAGAUGAGUGAAAGAGAGAAAGAGAGAAAGAGAGAGACCUUAGGGCAGAAAAUAGCAACGGCGUUUUGAGCACCGAAGGAAACGAGACCAGAAGCUCCCCAAGAGACGUUGUUGACGACUCUGUUGCAUCCUGCUCCUAUGAACACUCUCUUCGCUUCCACUUCGGUGUUUUCCGACAUCUUUAUCAGAAGGGUGGCUUUUGAUCUGAAGAUUACGGAGUUUCUUCUCUGUUUCUGGUGCGUAUACAAGUAAAAUAUCGCCGGCGGCGGAAAAUAUCGCCGGGAAUGUAAACAGGCUGAAAAUUUCGGAGACUAACAAGGGUUUAUUACUUUCGAGUUCUGAGAGGGAGUAUUUUGCUGGGCUUUAAUAUUGGGCCCAAAGUUUAUUACAAUAUGUAUUAGUUAUUGUUUCAAGACAAUUUUUAUGAGUUAUUUUAGUCAAUAAUAAUAACUAGGUGAUAGAUGAUCCACAGGCGGAGUGAAAUUUAUAGAACAACUAGGUGGUGGUCCGCAAUUUUGCGGGUUCGAAUAUUUUAUAAAAACAUAAUAUAUUAUAAUUUUAUGAAACUAAUUAUAUUUUUAUUCAAAAUUAAAUGUUAAUUUUAUUUGAAACUAUAAUCUUAAGUGUAAACAUAUGAAAUUUCUAAUGUAACAAAAAAUUAUUUUUAUUCAGAUCAACAUCGUUUUUAUUUUUUAUAUAUGAAAAUGAUUUAUAAUUUUAUGGACUUUGAAUAAUAAUUAUUUUUUUCUAAACUUUCUAGGAUUUCUACAGUAAGUUUUUAUAAAUAACUAUGUUUGAUAUUACUUGGAUCAUUUGGAAAAAAUAUUUUAAUUGGUUCUAAACUUACAUUUUUUAAUUUAAUUAAAAUAAAUUAAAAAAUUAUCAAUCAACAAAUGAGGAGAGCAGCAAUCACACUGCACCGGUUUUAGCUGCUAAAGACAAUGUGGCCUGUGACACAGACAAUGUUGAACCGGCAAAGGCACAAGAAAGCUCAGCUAGCAGGAAACCUCAUGAACUGGCUGGGUUAGAGACAAAUGGAGCAUCAGUCUCUGAAGGUGGUAACUCAACUAAUGUGCCAGAUGACAACUCUUGUACCACCAGCAAAAAGAGAAGAUUAAGUUCUGGCAACAUACAAGUUACUAGUGAAAAUAUGGAGCUACCUGCCAUUAACAGUUCUUGCAAGGAAGCUGAAUCAAAUAUGCCUCAGACAAACGAGGUGAUUCCGGCACUGAAUAAUGGUAGAGCGCAACCAAUCUGUGCACCGGUGUGGAGGUAAAGUAAAACACACUCCUCUCUAUUUUAUGCAUCUUAGUAUCAUCAUCACUUGAGUUCUGAUCUGUUUUUUUUUUUUUUGUUAAUAUGUAGAGGGUCGGUAACUGUAAAACAAGGAAACAAUUGUAGCAUUCAUGGACUCGUUGCUCAUUUAUCAACCUUAGCGUGCCCUAGAGUCUAUGAGAAGGCAAGUUCAUUACACACUCGCUUAUCUGCUGAAAUGCUUCCAAGGUUGGAGAUAUGGCCACCUAGCUUUCUCAAGAACGGACCACCUACAGAUGACAGUAUCGCGCUUUACUUCUUCCCUUCCCAUGAUAGGUGUGCUGUCUCAGACAUCCAAAUUUUGUUUCUCCCUAUGCAUAUGUUGUUAAGUGUGUCGACCUUACCUUUUCUGUUUUCCAGUAACGGUGAAAGUGUUUACUAUUCCCUUGUUGAUGAAAUGAAGAAGAAAGAUUUGGGGAUGAGAUGCUUGCUUGACGAUGCGGAACUUCUACUUUUCACCUCUUAUCAGUUACCACUGCCUUGCUGGAGUAAGUCUAUAAGUUUGUUUUUUUUAAAUUUCUACAGGUUGUUCAUUUAUGAUUCUCUUGAAGUUGUUAAAGCUAAGAAGGCUGAGUUUUCUGUCUGCAGAGUUUCACUCAAAGGAGUACCUGUGGGGCGUUUUCAGACGCAGAAAGACCUCUGGACAUUAGUCACUAGGCUCAAACCUUUGACGGUUUUGGUUGUCGAAUUUUUGCUAGUUGGCCAGGUUCUGUAUAAAAUCUACAACGAGAUGGCAUUGUCUGUUAGGUGGAUUCAUGCAACCAAUUAAUCAAAUUAGUGAGAACUGUAUGAUUACAACCAGUAUGGGAAAGAAUGAGUAUUAAAAUUACAGGAAAAUUACAUCAAGUAGCAUGAUAUCAAAACCUAUUAACUCACAUUCUUUCUUAACAUUACAGCAUGAUAUCAUUCUCUGCAAUUACUAAGAGUUGAUUGUUUUUUAUCAACCGGAACUUGAAGUCAUGAUCUUAAACAGUACAAGCUGUUCUGUGUUGCUCAGAACUUGAAGUCAAAAACUCUCACACAAUUAUCAUCCCCACAAGAAGUUAACCUCAGCAAACUCUGGUUACUCUCGGUUGGUCUCCAUGCUAACCGGUUCACGGCCGAGACAUGACACAUUAACGGUUCAAGCCUCAGAGCAAGAGCUGCUGUUGCCGUUGUACCUUCUUCCUCUGUUUCUUUAAUCUUUAUGUUCCACAGCUCAAUCAGCCCACUCUCCAUCCCAACAGCUAUGCACCCGCUCUUCUCCUUCUGGUCUAGUCCCGGUACUCUCGGUUGGUCUCCAUGCUAACCGGUUCACGGCCGAGACAUGACACAUGAACGGUUCAAGCCUCAGAGCAAGAGCUGCUGUUGCUGUUGUACCUUCUUCCUCUGUUUCUUUAAUCUUUAUGUUCCACAGCUCAAUCAGUCCACUCUCCAUCCCAACAGCUAUGCACCCGCUCUUCUCCUUCUGGUCUAGUCCCGUCCAAGCCACGGCUGUGACACUGCUCCCGAACUGAGGCAAGGCAAGAACCUGUUUGACGUGAGCGUCUUUCUCGAUGGACCAGAUCUUCACAGUCUUGUCUCUUGAUGAAGUUGCGAACUGAUGGCCAUAUGGGUUCCAUGAACAUGCCCAGAUGAUCCUCUUGUGUGCUUCGACCUUUGCCAUGAGUUUGUGACUAACAUCUCCAUCAUCUGAACAGAAAUGACCAAAGAAGAAAAAAUAGAUAAGACUUAGAUGACUAUACUGACACUCUAAGACUAAAAGCUUCAAAGUUCAAGGUUUUACCUGUUCUUUGGAUAGAGAACACUGAGAAGUGACGAUCUCUGGAGACGGACAAGAGCAGAGUGUCGUCAUAAGAGAACUCCAAGUGUGUCACUGUCAAGCUGUGGGAUUGCAAACGACCAACAGCUUUCCAUGUCCCAACUUCCCAUAGCCAUAUCUCCGCCAUGGCAGCAGACUGAGCCUGAACAAGUUUGUGGUUCAUGCUCGGUCAAAUAUGUAUAGGGGAGAUGGAGCAAGUGCAAACAUAUAUUAGCUUACCUUACAGGAUGAAGCAACAAGGGUUCCGUUGUGGUCGCAGCAGAGAGAAAAGAGUUCAUUACCAUGACCAUAGAGUUUAUGAGAUUCAGGCCAUAAAGUAUGAAACGCAAGCUGGUCUUCGAUUGGAGGCUCCUUCAACUCCACUGGAGCAGCCUCUGGAACCGUUUCAAAUGUCUCCAAACCUUCUCCUCCUCCAUUUCUCUCCAACGGUUCACUAGAAGCUACACACAAAAUAAAAAAUAAUAUGAAAUCUCAAGACCGUAUUGGUUAAAAGCUAGACAGGAGUUGAAUCAAUCACUCACAGUGUAAGUAGAUAGGUUUCUGAGAUAAACCAAGAGCAGACAUAUUUGCGCCAAGGACCUGCACAUCUGCUUGUAAAUCCUCAGGGAAGCUUCCUUCUCCUCCGGCACAAGUGUGUUUCAGUGUCUUUAAGAAAGACAGAGGAGCCUCGAAAACUCUCACAACUUUCUCCUCUGCUCCACUUACAAAACGGUGGUUGCCUUUACCUUGAACUAUAGCCACACAGUUAAUGUCAUGACCAUGAACCUGAGGACGAGCCAGUUCAUGCCAAUGCUCAUUCUCCUCAUCGCUCUUCCAUGAUGAGAACACCCGAGUGGUCUGAUCGUGGCUCACGGAUAGCAAGUACUCGCCGGUUCUAGCCCACGUGAUGUCAGUCACAGCAGCAAAAUGACCUGAAGGGACUUUCUGCAUCUGCCAGUUUUCAAACUCUUUGCUGCUACUAACAUUUCUCCAGAGAUGAAAAGAUCCACCAUACCCAUGAGCCAGGAUCGACACACCAUCCGGGCUCCAGUGGCCACCGUAGAAGCCAAGAGCACAGUGACUAAGCUCUCCUACACACACAACGUUCACCCACACACCCGUUUUCUUCUCAGGUCGCCAAAUCAUCAUCGUCUUGUCCAUUGAAGCCGAUAAAAUGCUCAAUGGUUGGUGGCAGUCCACUGGAGGUUGCCACUCCACGGAAUAGACCCAAUCUUCAUGUCCAAUAAGAACA